RNAcentral lists this ribosomal RNA (253 nucleotides) under uncultured bacterium. RNAcentral describes it as "partial 16S ribosomal RNA". It matches the Rfam family "Bacterial small subunit ribosomal RNA", at positions 524 to 776 of the family's 1533-position model. The record is from RNAcentral.
GACAGAGGGUGCAAACGUUGCUCGGAAUCACUGGGCGUAAAGGGCGUGUAGGCGGGAAUGUAAGUCGGGCGUGAAAUCCCUAGGCUCAACCUAGGAACUGCACUCGAAACUGCGUUUCUUGAGUAUCGGAGAGGAAAGCGGAAUACCUGGUGUAGAGGUGAAAUUCGUAGAUAUCAGGUGGAACACCAGUGGCGAAGGCGAGUCCCUGGACAACACCUGACACUGAGGCACGAAAGCUAGGGGAGCAAACAGG